RNAcentral lists this long non-coding RNA (219 nucleotides) under Lathyrus oleraceus (garden pea). Its description in RNAcentral is "Pisum sativum (pea) long non-coding RNA (PSAT_LNC004184)". The record is from RNAcentral. Lineage: Eukaryota; Viridiplantae; Streptophyta; Magnoliopsida; Fabales; Fabaceae.
UACUUGAAAAAUGGAAAUAGGAAGAACAAGUUUUCCCCCCAUACUUAAAUUAAACAUUGUCCCCAAUGUUUUAAGGGAAUGAAAUACACUAUGGAAAGGAAAAAGAAACUACAACUAAGGUUGUCUUCCGCCUCUGGUUCUUGGACCUGGUGAUCUCGGACGUAAGUCUAAGUUGUCGAACCUGCUGAACAACUCAGUAAACCGCUGGUCGGUUAUGGC